Molecule: long non-coding RNA, 4052 nt
Filed under: Homo sapiens (human)
Lineage: Eukaryota; Metazoa; Chordata; Mammalia; Primates; Hominidae
Description: HSALNT0029464
Source: RNAcentral
UUCAUAACAUUGCUCUAAGAAUUCAAUGAGAUAAAUCGGAACAAGAAGGGCAGGUUAUUAUAUCACAGGUAGGUUUCAGAUGGCUUUGCCUGUCAUUUUAAUUUUUCCUUCUCUCCAUUUGGAACAAUGUGAUUGGUAAAUGAAUAGGAUUACUUUCACUACUUACACGUGUUGGGGAGAGGGACCGUUAACAAACAUUUAUUGAGACUCUAAUACAUGCAAAGUUUGUAGAGGCAUGAGAAAGCGUAUAAAACGUACUCUCAACCACUUAACGAAUGCAAAUAACUACCUCCACUGUCAUCCUAUAAUUGAUAUGAAAGCUAGUUUGGAACUUUUGUACGCAGAAUGAUGGCCCCCAAGGAUAUCCAUGCCCUAAUCCCCAGAACCUGUGAAAACGUAAGGCGAUAUGGAAAAGGAGAAUUAAGGUUGCAGAUGGAAUUAAGGUUACUAACCAGCUGACAUUGAGAUGGGGAGAUUAUCCUGGAGUAUGUGAGUGGGCCCAGUGUAAUCAGAAGGGUCCUUGUAAGUGGAAGAGAGAAGGAGAAGAGGGAGAUCCAAGGAGAUGGCAGCAUAAGAAAGAGCCCAAUUCUGCUGGCUUUGGAGGUGGAAGAAUGGAGCCAGGGAACUGGGCAGCCUUGAGAAGCUAGAAAAAGGCAAGACAACGAAUUCCCUCCAGAGCCUCCAGGAGGGAUGGAGCUCUGCUGACACCUUGAUUUUAGCCCCGUGAAACCCAUUUUGGAUGUCUGAUCUAUAGAAUUUAAGACAAUAAAUUGGUGGUGUUUCAAGCCACUACAUUUUGGAUAAUUUGUUACAGAGGCCAUAGGAAACUAACAUAAGAAUUCAGUUGUUUUGUCUUUUUAUUUGGAAAGCCAGUCCUCUAUCUUGUACUUCUUUGCAAAUAAACCUCCUUUCUUUUCUAAAUGUUUUUGUCUCUGAGUCUUCCAGGACAGACAUCACAAAGAAUUCCCUACCAAUUAAUUAGUAGCCAGAAUAUGAGAUAUAUAUUCCAGAAAAACAGAACUUGGUUCCUUGUCAUGGCCUCACAGCAAUCCGGACCGUACAAGGCAGAGUGGGGGGCACUUUUAAAGCAAGUGAUACCAACUGUGAGUUUUCUUCAACAGACUCAAAGUGUGAAAAAAGGCCCUUUGUAGGCUACUGAUGUUCUUGCUUAGAAUGGGUGUUUAAUAACUCCUUCUCCUCCAAUGUUAAACUUCAGGGAACUAGUAUUCACUACUAAGGGAAUGACUUCUCUGAAAGCCAAGGCCACAUCUAGUUUCAUGUUUGAAUUCCUGUCACAGAGCACAGAGGAAAAGAAGGUGCUCAAAAGUGUGUUGAAUGCGCAAACGAACGAGUAUGGAAGAGGAGUUGGCAGGGGCCUCGCACGUUCCUUCCCCUCUCCUAGUGAUUCUUCCUUGUGUAGGAGGCUCUGUUAACAGGGCUCUCCCUUAGUAGGCCACUCCAGCCUCUCCCCACCGCUCCCUGACUGGACCCUGGGAAUUAUGGAGUGACCCAUCUGAGUACUGCUUUUGGAAGAAGAGCUUGAGUAGGGGCAGCCCAGCCCUUUCUUCUCCUCUCUCUCUUCAAAGUGAGCUGCCCACAGGGUGUAUGCAUUUUCUUGGUGCCAGCACCUGUGGGACAGGAGGAACAGAUGUGAAGUUCAGCCUUUCCCUAAGACCAUAGCUAUAUUCUCCUAUAUCAGUUAUAGCAUUAAUAACAGCAAUAUUUUGGUUCCCAUCAAUUCUUUUAUAUCUUAAAAUUCAAUUGGUCCAAACUCCAAUAUUAUGGAAGAAGAUUUUCAUAAUUUUAGCGGGACAGAAUAGACUGAAGUAAAGAGGCCUGAGUCCUGAAUGGUCUUCCACUUACCAGCUGUGCAAAUUGAGGGUUUUACUUCACUUCUCUGAGACUCAGUAUGUUCACUGUUGAAAGCAUUGAUCUAGAUGACUUCCAAGAUCCCUUCCAUGAUUCUGAGCAUCUGAGAUUUGCAGGGGCAUCUGCCUCUGGGGAGCACCCCCUAGCUCACCUCGUCUGGGCCAGAUGCCUCUUCUUUGUGCAACUGGAAGCCUGCUCUGUCCUCCCUGACAGCACUUGCCACACUGUUCAUAUUGUCUGAAUCCUCAGCCAGUCAGUUGGCAACAUGGGAGUGGGACCAUGCUGUUUGAUUCCCUGCUGUAUUCCCGGCACCUGGUACAUCUCAUAGCAGGUGCUUAAUUGGCUGAAUUCACAAUUGUGAUACAAUUCAGGGGCCAGAGGCCCCUGAGGCACAGUUAGCCACCCUUUCCCUGUGCAGUGGGAAAAGAAAAGCAUCACAGUGGCCGAUCUAGCCAUGACUCUCACACCACGUACCCCAAGGAAUCUGGAAAGUAGAUCCCAAGAAAGGCCUGGAUUUUGAACCUGUUUCUGAAGGGGAAAAUAUCUUCCUAUAUUGUUUUUCAGAUUAAUUUGCCAGUGUUAGGGAAACAGUAAGCCAUCUUUCGGGGAGAGAUGACCAUUUCUCCCAUUGGUUCAUUCAUAUUUAUAGGCAUCUGGUUUGGGGCUAUUGCUGUGUCUGUUCGCAGAUUCUCAGAUUCUCAGUGAGGCUUUUAGCCAUUUGGAAAGCACAAUAAACUCCUCUCCAUUUCCAUCUGCACAAGCCCAUGCUGUAGUUAUUCCCCUCUACAAGCCCUACCUGCCAUCACGACAUUUCCCUACCCUGGGAUUGGAGGAAAUGAGCAAAUCAACCCUGAGCACGCUUCAGGUGGCUCUGUGACCUUGCAUUCUUCCCAGUGACCUUUCUCAUGUUACUCUCUGCAUGGGCAACUCCAGCCAUUAUAUUAGCAACACACAAUUACACCUUCAAGGUACAUUCAAGUUCAGGCACUGCCAGGACAUAAAUACCUUAAUGAGGUGACAGCCAUGCAAAACCUCUGAGUGACGUAAAUCAGAGCUCAGAUUGCAAAGACACAUUGGCAGGUUCACGCCCAAGCACAGAGAAAGAAGAAAGCAGAAAGGGAGGAAGGGAGGCAGGGAGGCAGAGGAAGGAAGUGGGGAGAUGAGAAGGAAGGAGGGAGAUGAGAGGGAGGAAGGAAGAAGGGAGAAUUCUAUGGUAAUGCUAGUGGUAGCACGCAGCACAAUGUUUUUGAAGUGAUUUCUAAUGCUUUCAUCAAACACUUGCAUCCUCAUCCCGACUUCCUUGAUUUCUCUGCUGGCUAAAUCCCUGCUGGCACACCCAGGAUUCAGUACUCACAUUCAGCAAGCACUCAUCAGUUGACAGAACACAACUUGGCUCUAGGUUGUCCUUGCCUCUAUCAUACCCUCCAAAUGCACCUCGGCCCAUGGGGUGAGGUCUCUACUGCACAGACUCCUAACUCUGUUGGUGUCCUAAAGGAAUGUCAAUCUCAGGCCUAGAGGCAGAGUGGAUGGUGGGGGAGGGCAUAUCCAGCCUCCAACAGCAGCCAGGAAAGGGGACUCCGGUGCUACUGCUCUGGCCGAUAGGUGACAGAAGGACUUUCUCAUCCCUGAACCUGCUCACUCUAAUGCAAACAGUCUUUGGUUCAGUUCUAUACUAACCGCAGAACUGAAGCACUCAAGGGCCCUGUUCCAUCAUGUAGGGCCACGACUAAUGCUAGAUACUGAGAAAAAUGGUGAGAGAUAGAAUCCAGAGUCAGAGGUCAACAUAAAAGGUAAUGACAAGUAGCUGACCUGUGGAGAUGCAAUCAGCCUGGCUUCGCCUCCUUGGACUGCUGUUUCCUCUAAGGGUUGCAUGGCUGCUCUGCGGGCAUGUAUGCACCUGUCUUAAAGGCAUAGCUGUCUGAGUGAUGCCCAACAUCCCCAGGCCUGGUUAUUCCACUCCCAACAGCCCCACCACCUCGCAAGGGCUUCAUGUGGUUGUUCCCACAAUGGUGGCAGUAGAAUGAGCAGUAGCUUUUAUCCACCUUACUCCAGGAAUAGGAGGGGCCCAGUGCAGUGCUGCCUAACAGAAAUACAAUGUGAGCCACAUAUGUAACUUUAAGUUUUCUAGCAUCUAUGUUAAAAAGUGUAAAAACAAACAGAUAAAAUUAAUUUUAAUAUUAAAC